This 253-nucleotide long non-coding RNA is filed under the name Lathyrus oleraceus (garden pea). RNAcentral's name for it is "Pisum sativum (pea) long non-coding RNA (PSAT_LNC009841)". The record is from RNAcentral. Lineage: Eukaryota; Viridiplantae; Streptophyta; Magnoliopsida; Fabales; Fabaceae.
UUUAAUGAUAAUUUUGUUUUUUUAUGCCAUGAUGUGAAUUGCAAUUUUGUGUGUUGAAAUGUUGUUAUUGUGUUCUUGAAAUCAAUGAAAUUCAUGAUUGUAUUUGUUAGUUUGUUUGAUUUGAUGAUAGAUUGAUGAGUAUGUGAUGAGUUAUAGUGGUAAAUUAACUUAAUGUGUUAGCAACUCGUAAAUAAGCUAUUUUGUUAUUAGGGAUCUAUUACCUUAAAGUUGUCAGAGUUACUACUUGAGUAAA